CAGGGUUCAAAGAUGCUUCUAUGUGGUC
Molecule: non-coding RNA, 28 nt
Filed under: Mus musculus (house mouse)
Lineage: Eukaryota; Metazoa; Chordata; Mammalia; Rodentia; Muridae
Source: RNAcentral